AUUGGACGCUGGCGGCAUGCCUUACACAUGCAAGUCGAACGGUAACGGGCCUUCGGGUGCCGACGAGUGGCGAACGGGUGAGUAAUACAUCGGAACGUGCCCGAUCGUGGGGGAUAACGAGGCGAAAGCUUUGCUAAUACCGCAUACGAUCUACGGAUGAAAGCAGGGGACCGCAAGGCCUUGCGCGGACGGAGCGGCCGAUGGCAGAUUAGGUAGUUGGUGGGAUAAAAGCUUACCAAGCCGACGAUCUGUAGCUGGUCUGAGAGGAUGAUCAGCCACACUGGGACUGAGACACGGCCCAGACUCCUACGGGAGGCAGCAGUGGGGAAUUUUGGACAAUGGGCGCAAGCCUGAUCCAGCCAUGCCGCGUGCAGGAUGAAGGCCUUCGGGUUGCAAACUGCUUUUGUACGGAACGAAAAGCCUUCUUUUAAUACAGGAGGGUCAUGACGGUACCGUAAGAAUAAGCACCGGCUAACUACGUG
Molecule: ribosomal RNA, 482 nt
Filed under: uncultured bacterium
Lineage: Bacteria
Description: partial 16S ribosomal RNA
Rfam family: Bacterial small subunit ribosomal RNA
Source: RNAcentral